GUUGAUGCUCAAGACUUCGUGUAUUUCAGUGGAUUAAUAAUUUCAAAUCACAGGCAACUUCUCAGACAGACUUAUCUUUAACAUCACGGACACACUGCUAACAUGGGAGCUGUCCUAGCUAUAGUUAUUGAUGUGGUUGUGGCAGGAGUAGCUGCUGUAGUUGAAGCUGCUGCUACAGAAGCUGCUGCAGCACUUGUAGAGGUUGGAGUGGAGUCUAUUGUGGAGGCUGGAGAAGCUGCAGCCGCCGCAGCAGAGGCAGCAGCAGAAACUGCCGCAGAGGCAGCGGCCGAAGGUGCAGCCGAGGCAGCGAGUGAAACAGCAGCUGAGAUUGCAUCCAGCACCGCAGCACAAAUUGCAGCAAAAAUUUUGACCUAUGUAGCCAAACUUAGCAAACUUAUAAAAGAAACAUUUGAAAUCGAUGCCAUUUUCAAAGCUGCAAUAGAUGUUUUAAAACUAAUGUUGAGUGAUCCUUCAGUUGCUGAAAAAUACAGGAAGCUGGAGAGAGCUGUGACCAUUUUGGAAACACUCAACCAGAAGAUGAAUGAAAUCAUGAAAUGGCUGGAGGUCCAUAAGAAUGACUCUGUUGAACUCGAGGGAAUUGAUGUCCCCUUGGAGUCAGGAAUCCUGGCCAAGUUCCUUCAACAACUCUCAACGGCUCUGGGGAACAUGAAGCGACUAGCAGACGACAUCAACCAACUCAACCAGAGCAAACAACCAAUCAAAGAUGCCCAGAUUAUAACCAUAAACCGCAGCAUGAUCCGUAUUGUGUCAACAUUUGAGUCUCUCGCCCAGUUCAAAGAAGAAAAGCAAAGCAAAAUCGCUGCAUUGGCAUCACUUCCUGUCAGCGUGGAGGAAGCGGAGGAGUGGAAGCGUGAGCUGGGUUCUGAUGGUGGUCCUACUCUUCAGCUCUUACAUCUUACCCUGUACAAAUACAAGUAAAAGGGCAUGGACUGUCCAGAACCAGAAGCGUAAAAUGGUGUCCUGAUUCACUGCCUGUUGUUUCAAUCAGUAUAUACACAAUUCUGAUGAUUUUAUUGUUUUUAAUCAGUAUAUUCUUAGUUAGUUAGUAUUGUUAUAAUUAACUAGUUGGAUUAGGUUAAGAAGUCAAUCUUUUAAUGCUCUGAUAUUUCAGUGUGGCGGUACUGUUUUCAGAUUCCUUUGUGUACGGAAAAUUCAAAGGUAAAAUAAUUUCUAUAACAAUUGCAGUAAAUGUUUUUUGUUGUUGUUCAUUCUGGAUUAACGAUAAAAAUAGAAAAAGAGAGAAAAAGAGAAUAUUUAAAAUUCUCUGAUCAUCAUAUGAUAAUCCUUAUGUUAUUCCUUAGUGUGUAUCCACUAACCUGUGUUAGAAAAGAUGCACCAAUGUUCAAGGACGUGUGUGUGUGUGUGUGUGUGUGUGUGUGUGUGUGUGUGUGUGUGUGUGUGUGUGUGUGUGUGUGUUAGUGUUAGUUUGCUAAAAGACUUCCUUUAUACUCAUAUCAAACACCAGAUGGAUGAUCUGUAGAGUGCCCUUGUUUUGAAAGUGUAUAAAACACUUUGGGUCAAGCUGGAGUCUGGCUCUUGUUACUUUUUUGUAAUAAAAGUCUCAUUUCUUUU
Molecule: long non-coding RNA, 1593 nt
Organism: Ictalurus punctatus (channel catfish)
Lineage: Eukaryota; Metazoa; Chordata; Actinopteri; Siluriformes; Ictaluridae
Source: Ensembl